UUAGAUUAAAACCAAUCGGGUUUCGGCCCGUCAAUUGGUGACUCUGAAUAACUAUGGCUGAUCGCAUGGUCUUGAACCGGCGACGUGUCUAUCAAGUGUCUGCCUUAUCAACUGUCGAUGGUAGUUUAUGUGCCUACCAUGGUUGUAACGGGUAACGGAGAAUAAGGGUUCGACUCCGGAGAGGGAGCCUGAGAAACGGCUACCACAUCCAAGGAAGGCAGCAGGCGCGCAAAUUACCCACUCUCGGCAUGAGGAGGUAGUGACGAAAAAUAACGAGACCGUUCUCUCUGAGGCCGGUUAUCGGAAUGGGUACAAUUUAAACCCGUUAACGAGGAUCUAUGAGAGGGCAAGUCUGGUGCCAGCAGCCGCGGUAAUUCCAGCUCUCAAAGUGUAUAUCGUCAUUGCUGCGGUUAAAAAGCUCGUAGUUGGAUCUGCGCCUCAGGACUUGGUCCGCCCACUGGGCGAGAACUGGGCUCCUGGGCUAGUACUGCUGGUUUUCCCUACGUUGCCUUCAUCGGUCGCGUAGGGUGGCUAGCGAGUUUACUUUGAAAAAAUUAGAGUGCUUCACGCGGGCUUAUGUCUGAAUACUCGUGCAUGGAAUAAUAGAAUAGGAUCUCGGUUCUAUUUUGUUGGUUUUCUGAUCUGAGAUAAUGGUUAAGAGGGACGGACGGGGGCAUUCGUAUCGCUGCGUGAGAGGUGAAAUUCUUGGACCGUAGCGAGACGUCCGACUGCGAAAGCAUUUGCCAAGAAUGUCUUCAUUAAUCAAGAACGAAAGUCAGA
Molecule: ribosomal RNA, 780 nt
Filed under: Anisakis sp. SB36nem2
Lineage: Eukaryota; Metazoa; Nematoda; Chromadorea; Rhabditida; Anisakidae
Description: SSU rRNA
Rfam family: Eukaryotic small subunit ribosomal RNA
Source: RNAcentral